CGCGACAUCAAGACAAGAAGCAGCAUGUGGUUGACAAAUCAUCGAGCGAGGAGGCGUCUAUGAUCAUUUAAACGAGUUUUAUAACAAGAUGGACGUUUUCCUAUGGAGUGGGGAUGGCACAAGUGUGGCGAGGGAUUUGUGCUAAUUAAGACAACCCUACCUCCUGAGAAGCUCAUGAAGGUCAUAAGGUGCAGCGGCCAGUCUGACCGCAGCACCCUGAGAUGAAACAAUAUAGAAUGAGUCAACUGCCUGUGGACACUGCAGGGGAGUGAGCUGCACAAACUCAAUGCAGAUGGCCUGUGAUGAAAAUGAAGAUGAGAUUCUCUAGUGGUGCAUUGUACUCAUCCCCCAGAAACAGUCCCACGGAUCCAGCCCCAACCCCCAUCUCUUUAAUAAUAAUUCAUAAACGCUGGUUUAAAGUACUCAUUCCUGCCUCUAUGUAUUAAUUCUCAUGGGUAGCCUAAAUUCAGACCUUAACAUUAAGUAUUUACUGUUAUAGACCAUUUUGCAAGAUGUAAA
Molecule: long non-coding RNA, 519 nt
Organism: Pimephales promelas (fathead minnow)
Lineage: Eukaryota; Metazoa; Chordata; Actinopteri; Cypriniformes; Leuciscidae
Source: RefSeq, a predicted model, not a curated record